CACUAAGUUGCAGAAGCUGGCCUAAAACUUGCAAUCCUCCUGCCUUGGCCUCUAGAGGUAUGCACCAAAUGUAUCCAGCCCAAACAGUUGUAUCCUAUGCAGUGCCCAGGAUCCAACCCAGGGCCUCAUGAAUGCUAGGCUAGCACCAUACCACUGAGCUACAUUCCCAGUCAAAAUAAGUAAAAACUUAAAACAGAAAGCAGAAGCAGAAAAAGAUCUAGAGAAUCAUUACAGAAUAAAAUGAAAGAAUAUCAAACCUAUACAGACAAGUUUCUGUAGGAAAAAUGAAUACUUGAAACUACCAUCCUAGAAAACUGUCUAGAUAGAAAAGACCUAGGGGACUCAGGGUGUAUCUCAGUGGUUGAGGCUCAGGGUGUAUCUCACUGGUCAAACUCUUGUAUAGCAUGUACACAUGUUCAUCCCAGGCACAAACACCUAAAGAAGAAAAUGUGAACAUAGUUAGUGUCUCUACAAAAUACUUUUACACAGCCAGGCAAGGUGGUGCAGGCCUGUAAUCCCAGCUUCUUGGGAGGCUGAGGCAACAGCAUUACAAAUUCAAGACCGGCUUGGGCAUCUUAGUGAGACCUUGUCUCAAAAUUUUAAAAAAUGAAAAGAGGAUAUAGAUAUAGCUCAGUAGUAGAGCUCUCCUGGGUUCAAUCACCAACAUCACACACACACAGACACACACACACAAUACACUUCUGAACAUAUACAUUUAAAUAUAUUUUGCUUUUCACAAAAUAAGCCAAUCCCCAAAAAAACCAAAGGCCAAAUGUUUUCUCUG
RNAcentral lists this long non-coding RNA (784 nucleotides) under Marmota monax (woodchuck). Lineage: Eukaryota; Metazoa; Chordata; Mammalia; Rodentia; Sciuridae. The record is from RNAcentral.